This 274-nucleotide ribosomal RNA is filed under the name uncultured bacterium. Its description in RNAcentral is "partial 16S ribosomal RNA". It matches the Rfam family "Bacterial small subunit ribosomal RNA", at positions 523 to 796 of the family's 1533-position model. The record is from RNAcentral.
AUACGGAGGGUGCGAGCGUUGUUCGGAAUUAUUGGGCGUAAAGAGCAUGUAGGCGGUCUGUUAAGUCUGGUGUGAAAGCCCGGGGCUCAACCCCGGAAGUGCAUUGGAUACUGGCAGACUUGAGUAUGGGAGAGGAAAGCGGAAUUCCGAGUGUAGGAGUGAAAUCCGUAGAUAUUCGGAGGAACACCAGUGGCGAAGGCGGCUUUCUGGACCAAUACUGACGCUGAGAUGCGAAAGCGUGGGUAGCAAACGGGAUUAGAAACCCCGGUAGUCC